RNAcentral lists this ribosomal RNA (496 nucleotides) under uncultured bacterium. Its description in RNAcentral is "partial 16S ribosomal RNA". It matches the Rfam family "Bacterial small subunit ribosomal RNA", at positions 29 to 507 of the family's 1533-position model. The record is from RNAcentral.
AUGAACGCUGGCGGCGUGCCUAAUACAUGCAAGUCGAGCGAACGGACGAGAAGCUUGCUUUUCUGAUGUUAGCGGCGGACGGGUGAGUAACACGUGGAUAACCUACCUAUAAGACUGGGAUAACUUCGGGAAACCGGAGCUAAUACCGGAUAAUAUUUUGAACCGCAUGGUUCAAAAGUGAAAGACGGUCUUGCUGUCACUUAUAGAUGGAUCCGCGCUGCAUUAGCUAGUUGGUAAGGUAACGGCUUACCAAGGCAACGAUGCAUAGCCGACCUGAGAGGGUGAUCGGCCACACUGGAACUGAGACACGGUCCAGACUCCUACGGGAGGCAGCAGUAGGGAAUCUUCCGCAAUGGGCGAAAGCCUGACGGAGCAACGCCGCGUGAGUGAUGAAGGUCUUCGGAUCGUAAAACUCUGUUAUUAGGGAAGAACAUAUGUGUAAGUAACUGUGCACAUCUUGACGGUACCUAAUCAGAAAGCCAUGGCUAACUACGUG